AGUGAACGCUGGCGGUAGGCCUAACACAUGCAAGUCGAACGGCAGCACAGUAAGAGCUUGCUCUUACGGGCGGCGAGUGGCGGACGGGUGCCGAAUACAUCGGAAUCUACUUUUUAGGGGGGGCUAACGUAGGGAAACUUACGCUAAUACCGCAUACAACCUCCUUGUGAAAGCAGGGGAUCUUCUGACCUUUCGCUAUUGAAUGAGCCUAGGUCGGCUUCGCUCGUUAGCGGGUCAGAGGCCCAGCUAGGCCACAAUCCGUAUCUGGUCUGAGAGGAUGAUCAGCCACACUGGAAGUGAGACACGGUCCAGACUCCUACGGGAGGAAGCAGUGGGGAAUACUGGGCAAUGGGCGAGAGCCUGAUCCAGCAAUACCGCGUGGGUGAUGAAGGAGUUCGGGUUGUAAAGCCAUGUUGUUGGGAAAGAAAAGAAGCAGGUUAAUACCGCGCUGUUAUGACGGUACCCAAAGAAUAAGCACCGGCUAACUUCGUG
Molecule: ribosomal RNA, 492 nt
Filed under: uncultured bacterium
Lineage: Bacteria
Description: partial 16S ribosomal RNA
Rfam family: Bacterial small subunit ribosomal RNA
Source: RNAcentral